GAAAUGCGAUAAGUAAUGUGAAUUGCAGAAUUCAGUGAAUCAUCGAAUCUUUGAACGCACCUUGCGCUCCUUGGUAUUCCUUGGAGCAUGCCUGUUUGAGUAUCAUGAAAUCUUCAAAGUAAAUCUUUUGUUAACUCAAUUGGUUUCUACUUUGGUAUUGGAGGUCUUUGCAGCUUCACACCUGCUCCUCUUUGUUCAUUAGCUGGAUCUCAGUGUUAUGCUUGGUUCCACUCGGCGUGAUAAGUUAUCUAUCGCUGAGGACACUGUAAAAGGUGGCCAAGGUAAAUGCAGAUGAACCGCUUCUAAUAGUCCAUUGACUUGGACAAUACUUUUAUGAUCUGAUCUCACAUCAGGUAGGACUCCCCGCUGAACUUAAGC
RNAcentral lists this unclassified non-coding RNA (378 nucleotides) under plant metagenome. RNAcentral describes it as "partial contains 5.8S ribosomal RNA, internal transcribed spacer 2, and large subunit ribosomal RNA". The stretch from base 1 to 105 matches the Rfam family "5.8S ribosomal RNA", at positions 50 to 154 of the family's 154-position model. The record is from RNAcentral.